GCGCCUGUAGCUCAAUUGGAUAGAGCAAUUCCCUCCUAAGGAAAAGGUUCCCCGUUCGAUUCGGGGCAGGCGCGCCA
Molecule: transfer RNA, 77 nt
Filed under: Candidatus Omnitrophota bacterium
Lineage: Bacteria; Pseudomonadati; Candidatus Omnitrophota
Description: Candidatus Omnitrophica bacterium (aquatic metagenome) tRNA-Arg
Rfam family: tRNA
About the family: Transfer RNA (tRNA) molecules are approximately 80 nucleotides in length. Their secondary structure includes four short double-helical elements and three loops (D, anti-codon, and T loops). Further hydrogen bonds mediate the characteristic L-shaped molecular structure. tRNAs have two regions of fundamental functional importance: the anti-codon, which is responsible for specific mRNA codon recognition, and the 3' end, to which the tRNAs corresponding amino acid is attached (by aminoacyl-tRNA synthetases). tRNAs cope with the degeneracy of the genetic code in two manners: having more than one tRNA (with a specific anti-codon) for a particular amino acid; and 'wobble' base-pairing, i.e. permitting non-standard base-pairing at the 3rd anti-codon position.
Source: RNAcentral